AAAAAACCCAUUAAAUAGAAAAAUUUAUUCAAUAAACCUUAUAUAUAUAAUUGAUAUAUUCUAAUCAUUAAUUAUGAUAGCACCUACUUGAUAUUUACGAUAAUGGAUGGUUAUAACACAAACUUUGUAUUUUAAAAUUUUUGGUUAGGUACAGCAUGAGAAUUGAAAAUGUGGAAGCACUAAAGCCAUUAUCUCAUGCCCAAAAAAGAGGUAGAUAGGACCACCCUGGCCCUGGUUUCCACAUGUUUGUCUUCCUUUCUAAGGAACCAGAAACAGCUAAAGAAGUGGGUUUCUUAAAGUAGGGUUCUAAAGUUACAGUGAUUUGGUCAAACUAAUGAUAUGAGAAAGAUUUAUUAAUUAUAUUGGAUUUACAAUCAUAAACCCAAAAGGGAUUUUUAAUCAAAUGGAUUUUCUUUUUUCUUCUGUCUUCUUCUUUACAAUUCCUGUAGGUUAGCUGUAGCCCUUUCAUCAUGUGCUAUUUCCUGACAUUGAUAUAGCUUUUGAGAUAUAUAAGGAACUGAACCCCGCAAGCUUAUAGGUUCUCAAUGAAUUCACCCAUGGCAAGCAAAAAGUGAGCCAGACUGAGUUUAAAGAGGUUCUGUCCGAUAUUUUACUAGGCAUGGCUGCUGGCUUGAAGCGAGACCCAAUAGUCAUCCUUCGUAUGGAUGGUGAAGACCUAUCAGAGUUCAUCAACGGACCAAGUUAUGAAGCAGAAAUGGUAUCUAUAUUUUCGCAGUUAGUAUCACCUGAUGCUGAUGGAUCACUCCAUGAUUUCAUUGUUAAAGCCUUGGAAAAGAUUACAGUUGAUCAAGGAAUCCCCCCGUCUUCAGAUUCCUGGGUAAUGAGCAACAUUGUGGAACCAGCCCUAGAAUCUUGCACUGUCCAAGAUCUUGAUAAACCUAUCUCUCAAGAAACAUUCUUGGUGGAAUUCAAGAAAGUAGCUGAACAUGUGGCUCAACAUCUCAAAGAACAGCCAGUUAUUGUUGCUCAUAGUGAAAAUACCUUUGAUGGGAGUGGCAUUAGGAGGCUGUUAACCAAUAAGUUUGAAUUAGACAAGACUCUGAACACAGCUUUAGAAAAUGUACCAAAAGAUCGAAAUGGGAAAAUGUCCCAGGAGUAUUUAAGGGUGGCAAUGGAUUCAGUGGCUCCAUCAGCUGGCCUACCUCCAAUUGGUGCUGUUGACGAGAUAGACAAGGUUAUAGAUGAAGGGCUUAAGAUGAUGAAUGCAGAUGAUGGGAAGCUGGUUAAAGAAGAUGAGUUCAAGGAGAUAUUGACUGAAAUCCUGGGAAGUGUUAUGUUGCAAUUAGAGGGCAAUCCCAUCUCAGUUUCUUCAAAUUCUGUUGUGCAUGAGCCUCUUGCUUCCUCCUCUACACUUCUGUAGCCAUCAUUAUAUGUAUAAUAGAUGUUUUAAAUAUAUCAAAAUAAUAGUAAUAAUAAUAUAAAUGAGGAAUAAUUAUUUGUUAAUUAGGAUAUGAGGUGGAUACCUAUGCGUGGCUGUGUUCUGUGCAAUUAUCUUGAUUGUGCAUAUAUAGAAUCACAGUCAUAUGGUGAGUCUUUGUUAAUGAUAAUGAUAAUUAGUCUCUUCUGCUUGCUUUAAUUUCUGUUGUCCACUCUAGAUGUACUAAUGGCCCAUCGUAAUCAGUUAAUUGGAUGGAGAGAGG
RNAcentral lists this unclassified non-coding RNA (1661 nucleotides) under Hevea brasiliensis (rubber tree). Lineage: Eukaryota; Viridiplantae; Streptophyta; Magnoliopsida; Malpighiales; Euphorbiaceae. The record is from RNAcentral.